Molecule: long non-coding RNA, 5116 nt
Filed under: Homo sapiens (human)
Lineage: Eukaryota; Metazoa; Chordata; Mammalia; Primates; Hominidae
Description: HSALNT0096230
Source: RNAcentral
UUUGUGUUUUUCCACAAUGCCAGACUUUUACUGAUGCUAUUUCAAUCACAAAAGCCACGAACUACAUGGAGUUUCCAAGAAAGCAAUUCUCCUUAGUACUUCCCACUCACUCAGCACUCAGAGUCUUGGACACACAGGCUCAAGGCACUCCACAGGUCAAUCAAUAUUGCAAAUCAUGCAUAAUGGUAUACUUAAUCAACAUAUAUAUUAUAGAGUGAACAUUCCACAAACAAAAUAACAUUUAACAUUAAGAGAAAAGAGAUAGGACCCUUUUCUCCUUUAAGUCUGGAGCCCUCAGAAUCAUCUCCUUUCCUUCCUUUUUCCCUCUUUCCUCCCCCAAUUUAUUUUUUAAUCUUUGUGGGACAUGACUUCUAGGAAUGAGCCUUCCUAGCAACAUGGAACAUGACUUCCUAGGAAUGAGCCUUCCUAGUAACGUGAGACCUGAAUUUCCUGGAAUAAACCAUCCUAGCGACAAGAAACCAGCUCAAAAAAGGAGGAAAAAGCGAACUGAGGCCAGGAACACAUAUUCCUUUUAAAAUGCUUUCUCCAAAAGAUGUUAAAGAAAAAAAGGGGGAAAUGUGAAAGGAAAUUAAAUCUUGGGACCCCAGACUCAUUAAGCCAAAGGGAAAAGUCAAGCUGGGAAGUGGGUCACACAAACCUGCCUCCCGCUUUUGGUUCCUAAAUAAGAUGGCUACAAGAUGGAAAGCUACAUGCCUCCCCCAUAUUUUGCCCACAAGGAAAUUCCUAGUGAGGAAUUUUACUUUCCUAGAAAGGAAAAAAGAAAAGAGAUGAAAAAAUAUAUAUAGGGACUAGGCCAGAUUUAUAGCAACAAAAGGAAAGCAAACCUGGAAGCUGGGUCAAGCUUUAUUAUAUUACUGCCUCCUCAAUUAAAGCAAUUCUCUGGGCAAUCAUUACCUUAGCCCUUUCGGUUGCAUAUUGACUUAUUUGCAAACACGUACUAUAACAACAUUGUAAGCAGAAACAGGACAGAACAUAAAUUAUUCCUUCUAUUAUAAGCAAUAGCUUCUGCCACUAAAUUCCCCAGGAUCCAAACCAACCACUCAAGCAAUGGAUUAGUGAGGGUUUUGGAUCUGACAGUUGCUUAUCUGGGUUUUCAUACUGGUCAUAAUUCAGUUUAUGUUCUUUGAUUCAUCUGGAAUAUACACACAACAUUCAGUUUUUACGGUGGCACAGGUUCCCCUUGUGCUGCCAUGAGUAUAUCUAAAGCCACAUAGUUUUGCAACACAGCUUUCCUCAUAAGCAUGACCUCAUUGCUUAGCAAAGAGGUACUCAUGCAGCUACCAUUUAGGGCCUUUGGGUGUAAUUCGUUAUGGCCUCUAUAUGCCAUAUAACAUCUUCGAUACCUAUCUGUGGUACAAAGAUUGAAGCUAAGUGAUCAUAGCACUGGAAUACCAAACAUGUCCAAUGAGAUUGUAAAUGAAAAAGGUUUGCUGGUUUAAUGGAAGGGUCUGAAUUACUGGGCAACAUAUGGGGGAGGCAUGUAGCUUUUCAUCUUAUAGCCAUCUUAUUUAGGAACCAAAAGCAGGAGGCAGGUUUGUGUGACCCAGUUCCCAGCUCGACUUUUCCCUUUGGCUUAAUGAGUUUGGGGUCCCAAGAUUUAAUUUCCUUUCACAAUAUAUAUAAUCCAUAUUUUCCUUUUCUUUUUUUUCGAGAUGGGGGUCUCACUUUGUCACCCAGGCAUGAUCAUAGCUCACUGUUACCUGGAAUUCUUGGGUUCAAGGGAUCCUCCAGCCUUAGCCUCCCAAGUAGCUGUGACUAUAGAAGCAGGCCACGGUGCCCAGCUAAUUUUUAACUUUUUUGUAGAGACAGGGUCUCACCAUGUUGCCCAAGCUGGUCUCGGAACUCCUGGGCUCAAGUGAUUCUCCAGCCUUGGCCUCCCAAAGUGCUGGGAUUACAAGUGUGAGCCAUGGCACCUGGCUCCAUGUUUUCCACCAGAUUUUUUAACAUUGUAGGGGCCAACAGAAAAGUUCCCCUUUGCCCUCUUAAGAUUCACUGAAAAUUAACUAGCAAAAGGCAGAUUAAUAGGAGAAAAGACAUACAAAUUUAUUUGAUCAUAGUUUUACCUGACAUAGGAGCCUUCAGAAUGAAGACACAGAUGGGAAAUUGUCCAUUUAUAUGCCUAGGUUCAACAAAGUAUGGACAGCUAUGUAGAAAUAGGAUUGGACAAAAAGCGUACUGAUUUAGCGCUAAUAGACUGAGUGGGGAAACCCAGCGAGGCCUGUCUGUCUAGAUUCUUGGCCUCUCUCGGCAGCAUUCCUUCCUUCUGGGUAUGUACAGGACCGUCUUUGGAAUGGGGGUCUUAUGACCUACAAUCUAAAACAAAGUAGCUCAGAUAAUUUAUUCAGAGCCAGUUUUUACACAAAAGCAAGGCGGAAGUUAGAGUAGUUUUUUUUUUUUUUUUUUUUUUUGAGACAGAGUCUUGCUCUGUCGCCCAGGCUGGAGUGCAAUGGUGCGAUCUCGGCUCACUGCAACCUCCACCUCCCAAGUUCAAGUAAUUCUCCUGCCUCAGCCUCCUGAGUAGCGGGGAUUACAGGCACGCACCACCAUGCCUGGCUAAUUUUUGUAUUUUCAGUAGAGACAGGGUUUCAUCAUGUUGGUCAGGCUGGUCUCGAACUCCUGACUUUGUGAUCCACCUGCCUCUGCCUCCCAAAGUGCUGGGAUUACAGGUGUGAGCCACCGCGCCCGGCCUAGAGUAGUAUUUUACAUUUUAUGGCUGGCUUUGGGGAAAAGGGGUUCUCUCUAUGACCCACCUUGAGGAAAAGGGAUUCAGUGUCUGUGGCUAGGCUUGGGGAAGAAUGAAGGGCCAGAGACAGGAAGGCAGAAGGUCAGAGAGAAACUUUUGCUUCUGAGGCUGCUUCAGAGCCUUAAUUUGGGGUAUCAUUUUCUGAGCCCCAACAACAUGUUAAAGUCUCUGUCCAUUAGUUCAAACAUCUGGGUUUGAGUAGUUGGGGCUGAAGAACUCAAGUGUUCAUGCUUCAUCCUCAGCUUACAGCUGUCCUGCCUACCUGCACAGUGGUGACUAACUUUCUAGGCCUUUGCCCAUCCCCUAGAAAUGGAUGCUUGUUACUAGCUGCUUGGUAGGCUGGUAGCGGGGUAGAAGUAAAGGGGUUCUCUGUUGUUCUAAUUCAAUUCAGCCUCAGUCCUCAGCAGGCCCUGUGUGGGCCUUAGGAAUAGAUCUUUUCUCGGCAUUCUUGCCCCCCAAAACUGGGCAAGUUCAUUAAAUGAGUGUAAAGAGGAAAGAAGUGUGAGAAAUGAGAUUUGGUAUACUGCAAGGUUGGGAAGAUGGGAAAGAACUAGCAAAGAAUACGGAAGGAAACUUUCUAGCAGGGUAGACAGAAAAUUGUUACUGAAUUAAACUGGGGUCUGCUCACCCAGUGCCACAAAGCCAUUGACAUCAGGCUAGUAGCAAGAGAAAGUGAGGCAUUUUAUUGCAGGGCACCAUGCAAGGAGAAUUGCACAGAUCAUGCUUAAGACCCGAACUCCCAGAUGGCUUAAAGCUACGGGUUUUUAAAGGCAGGGAAAGAGAGGUUACAGGCAAAGUCAUAAAUCAAUACAUAGAGGCUAUACAUUGGUUUGACCUAAAAAGGUGGGACAUCUCAAAGCUGGGAUGGGGGUGGACUCAAAGGUCAUAGGUGGUUUCAAAGAUUUUUUGAUUUAUGAUUAAGGCGGUGAAGCUGUCUAAACUUGGGAUCCACAGAAAAGAAUGUUAGCUCUGGCCGGUGGACAUGACUUCCUCCAGGCCCCUCAGGAAGCAACUUAGAACAAUGAACAGUGGUCAGAGUUCAGUUCUCAGUUUCCCCUUAUCUGAGGUUUAAAGCUGGUGAGAGUUCAGGUUUCUGAAAAGUUGGGGACAUGUAUGUUACCCUUAGUUUCUAUAGGGAACAAAACAUCUCACUCUGACUUCCUUGGCUAUUGUGUUCAGCUACUUCUUGCUUAUCAGGUUGCUCAUUAACUUCUUUGGGCUAGCUAGGUGCCUAGAAUUCCCUUGAAGGAACUCAAGAUUUCCCUUUAUUUCCAUGCAUGGAGGGGCCCACAAGCCUCCUAAAAGGGGGUCCCUGCUCUGCCUCAAAACCAGGAGUGUUGUGUUCUGGAAACCAAGCAAAGCCUUUCAAGAAGGGAGAGAUAAACUGUCAGAUCUACUGAAAAAUUGCAUAGUUAAGGACUGAGAACUGACCCUGUAUUUAAGUGUGGUGAUUGCUGGUGACCUUGACAAGAGCAGUUUCGACCAAGUGGUGGCGGUGAGAGUCUAACUGGAAUGGGUUCAGGUGAGAAUGGAGGAACUGGAAGGUUGAAUUAGGGUUUUUUUUUUUUUUUUUCCCUUGAGACGGAGUCUCGCUCUGCUGCCCAGGCUGGAGUGCCGUGGCGUGAUCUUGGCUCACUGCAAGCUCCGCCUCCCAGGUUCACGCCAUUCUCCUGCCUCAGCCUCGAGAGUAGCUGGGACUACAGGCACCUGCCACCAGGCCCGGCUAAUUUUUUUUAUUAUUUUUAGUAGAGACGGGAUUUCACCUUGUUAGCCAGGAUGGUCUCGAUCUCCUGACCUCGUGAUCUGCCCGCCUCAGCCUCCCAAAGUGCUGGGAUUACAGGUGUGAGCCACCGCACCUGGCCAUUUUUGUUUUUUAAAAAACUUUUACUUAAACAGAGACAAGGUCUUGUUAGGUUUUCCAGUCUUGUCUCAAACUCCUGGCCUCAAAUCAUCCUCUCACCUCGGCCUCCUAAAGCGCUGGGAUUACAGGUGUGAGCGAUCAUGCCCAGUCAGAGUUAGAGGAGUUUUGCUGUACAGGGAGUGGAGAAAUGGAGUGGCAGCUGAAGAGGAGAGUGAGGCCAAUUUCUUUUUUAAGAUGAGAGAAAUCACAUGCUAAUGGAAAAGGGAAGGAGGGAGCUGCCGAUGCUAUCUGUGAAUAGGUAAGAGGAUGAGCUUCAGUGUUAAGAGGUGGGGCUGGGUUCCAACAGGAAGAGUAUGAAUAAUUCAUCUAAGUAAGAGGAGGGAAGGAACAGUUAUGAAGGUACAGAUGAAGGUGAUGAGUGGCCACUGGUGGAGUCAGACCACUGUGUAUAUUGUAAAGGAUAUCUUUAGAAGCAAUGACCCAGGAUAAAA